AGCCUUCUGUAUCCGUGCUGAGAUUUCGUCACACACAAACCACAAGGGCUGAGAAGACUUCCAAGAUUAAGUGAAGCG
RNAcentral lists this microRNA precursor (78 nucleotides) under Schistosoma mattheei. Its description in RNAcentral is "mir-3492 microRNA precursor family". It matches the Rfam family "mir-3492 microRNA precursor family". Lineage: Eukaryota; Metazoa; Platyhelminthes; Trematoda; Strigeidida; Schistosomatidae. The record is from Rfam by way of RNAcentral.